This 444-nucleotide ribosomal RNA is filed under the name uncultured bacterium. Its description in RNAcentral is "partial 16S ribosomal RNA". It matches the Rfam family "Bacterial small subunit ribosomal RNA", at positions 29 to 507 of the family's 1533-position model. The record is from RNAcentral.
AAUCAACGCUGGCGGCGCGCUUAACACAUGCAAGUCGCACGAGAAAGGGAGCAAUCCUGAGUAAAGUGGCGUACGGGUGAGUAACACGUGGGAAUCUACCUCUUGGCGGGGAAUAACCCUGGGAAACCGGGGCUAAUACCGCAUAAGCUCGUGAGGGGAAAGCAGCAAUGCACCGAGAGAGGAGCCCGCGGCCGAUUAGCUAGUUGGUGGGGUAAUGGCUCACCAAGGCGAAGAUCGGUAGCCGGCCUGAGAGGGCACACGGCCACACUGGCACUGAAACACGGGCCAGACUCCUACGGGAGGCAGCAGUGGGGAAUCUUGCACAAUGGGGGAAACCCUGAUGCAGCGACGCCGCGUGAGCGAUGAAGCCCUUCGGGGUGUAAAGCUCUUUCGACAGGAACGAUAAUGACGGUACCUGGAGAAGAAGCUGCGGCUAACUACGUG